Molecule: ribosomal RNA, 379 nt
Filed under: uncultured bacterium
Lineage: Bacteria
Description: bacterial SSU rRNA
Rfam family: Bacterial small subunit ribosomal RNA
Source: RNAcentral
GAAGAACCUUNCCGAGACUUGACAUCCCGUGACUAUCUGUGAAAGCAGAGUUUGCCUUGGGCACCCGGUGACAGGUGGUGCAUGGUUGUUGUCAGCUUGUGUCGUGAGAUGUUGGGUUAAGUCCCGCAACGAGCGCAACCCCUAUCCUUAGUUGCCAGCGGGUAACCGGGGAUUUUAAGGAGACACCCGGUGAAAACCGGAGGAAGGUGGGGAUGACGUCAAAUCAUCAUGCCCCUUAUGUCUCGGGCUACACACGUGCUACAAUGGUCAGUACAGAGGGAAGCGAAGUGGUGACAUGGAGCAAAUCCCAGAAAGCCGAUCUCAGUUCGGAUUGCAGNUCUGCAACUCGCCUGCAUGAAGCUCGGAAUCGCAUNUNUAC